GGAUAGCCUUUGCAGUACCCUGCCUGAUGGAGACUGGCAGAGGCGAUACUUAGAGAUCAGGAUAAGCAUGUAGAGAUUUGUGUGGAAUAUUUUCGGACGCGGGUUCGACUCCCGCCGCCUCCACCA
This 126-nucleotide transfer RNA is filed under the name Desulfosarcina widdelii. Its description in RNAcentral is "tRNA-Ser". It matches the Rfam family "transfer-messenger RNA", at positions 236 to 374 of the family's 374-position model. Rfam says of the family: Bacterial tmRNA, also known as 10Sa RNA or SsrA, is named for its dual tRNA and mRNA-like properties. Its role is to liberate the mRNA from a stalled ribosome. To accomplish this part of the tmRNA is used as a reading frame that ends in a translation stop signal. The record is from RNAcentral. Lineage: Bacteria; Pseudomonadati; Thermodesulfobacteriota; Desulfobacteria; Desulfobacterales; Desulfosarcinaceae.